RNAcentral lists this transfer RNA (74 nucleotides) under Egretta garzetta (little egret). It matches the Rfam family "tRNA". Rfam says of the family: Transfer RNA (tRNA) molecules are approximately 80 nucleotides in length. Their secondary structure includes four short double-helical elements and three loops (D, anti-codon, and T loops). Lineage: Eukaryota; Metazoa; Chordata; Aves; Pelecaniformes; Ardeidae. The record is from Rfam by way of RNAcentral.
GUCUCUGUGGUGCAAUUGGUUAAUGUGUUUGGCUGUUAACUGAAAGGUGGGUGGUUCGAGCCCACCCAGGGGCA